This 75-nucleotide transfer RNA is filed under the name archaeon. Its description in RNAcentral is "tRNA-Thr". It matches the Rfam family "tRNA". Rfam says of the family: Transfer RNA (tRNA) molecules are approximately 80 nucleotides in length. Their secondary structure includes four short double-helical elements and three loops (D, anti-codon, and T loops). The record is from RNAcentral.
GCCGGCGUAGCACAACGGGAGUGCGGUCCCCCAGUAAGGGACAGGUUGGGAGUUCAAAUCUCUCCGCCGGCUCCA